RNAcentral lists this ribosomal RNA (265 nucleotides) under uncultured archaeon. Its description in RNAcentral is "partial 16S ribosomal RNA". It matches the Rfam family "Archaeal small subunit ribosomal RNA", at positions 716 to 982 of the family's 1478-position model. The record is from RNAcentral.
ACAGUCACACAUUAGAUACCCCCGUAGUCCAGGGUGUAAACGCUGCGGGCUUGGUGUUGGGGGUCCUUUGAGGGCGCCCAGUGCCGGAGAGAAGUUGUUAAGCCUGCUGCUUGGGGAGUACGUCCGCAAGGAUGAAACUUAAAGGAAUUGGCGGGGGAGCACCGCAACGGGAGGAGCGUGCGGUUCAAUUGGAUUCAACGCCGGACAACUCACCAGGAGCGACGGUUACAUGAAGGCCAGGCUGAUGACCUUGCCUGAUUUUCCG